GACGAACGCUGGCGGCGUGCUUAACACAUGCAAGUCGAACGGUAAGGCCCUUCGGGGUACACGAGUGGCGAACGGGUGAGUAACACGUGGGUGAUCUGCCCUGCACUUGGGAUAAGCCUGGGAAACUGGGUCUAAUACCGGAUAGGACCACUGCCUGCAUGGGUGGUGGUGGAAAGCUUUUGCGGUGUGGGAUGGGCCCGCGGCCUAUCAGCUUGUUGGUGGGGUGAUGGCCUACCAAGGCGACGACGGGUAGCCGGCCUGAGAGGGUGACCGGCCACACUGGGACUGUGAUACGGCCCAGACUCCUACGGGAGGCAGCAGUGGGGAAUAUUGCACAAUGGGCGCAAGCCUGAUGCAGCGACGCCGCGUGAGGGAUGACGGCCUUCGGGUUGUAAACCUCUUUCAGCACCGACGAAGCGCAAGUGACGGUAGGUGCAGAAGAAGGACCGGCCAACUACGUGCCAGCCGCCGCCGUAA
RNAcentral lists this ribosomal RNA (477 nucleotides) under uncultured bacterium. RNAcentral describes it as "partial 16S ribosomal RNA". It matches the Rfam family "Bacterial small subunit ribosomal RNA", at positions 28 to 523 of the family's 1533-position model. The record is from RNAcentral.